GCUGAGGUCUAUCCAGACGGGCCUUCCUGUAAUGCAGUGUGGGGAACGCCUCCACGAGCAACUCUGUGGUUUGGGGUUACUCACAGGACUAUUUGUUAGAUCUGUGGAAAGGAACUACAAGGCAGGA
Molecule: small nucleolar RNA, 127 nt
Organism: Jaculus jaculus (lesser Egyptian jerboa)
Lineage: Eukaryota; Metazoa; Chordata; Mammalia; Rodentia; Dipodidae
Source: Ensembl